This 253-nucleotide ribosomal RNA is filed under the name uncultured bacterium. RNAcentral describes it as "partial 16S ribosomal RNA". It matches the Rfam family "Bacterial small subunit ribosomal RNA", at positions 524 to 776 of the family's 1533-position model. The record is from RNAcentral.
UACGUAGGGGGCAAGCGUUAUCCGGAUUCACUGGGUGUAAAGGGAGCGUAGACGGCCAUGCAAGCCUGGAGUGAAAGCCCGGGGCCCAACCCCGGGACUGCUCUGGGAACUGUGCGGCUGGAGUGCGGGAGGGGCAGGCGGAAUUCCUGGUGUAGCGGUGAAAUGCGUAGAUAUCAGGAGGAACACCGGUGGCGAAGGCGGCCUGCUGGACUGCAACUGACGUUGAGGCCCGAAAGCGUGGGGAGCAAACAGG